Molecule: antisense RNA, 69 nt
Filed under: Actinophytocola xinjiangensis
Lineage: Bacteria; Bacillati; Actinomycetota; Actinomycetes; Pseudonocardiales; Pseudonocardiaceae
Description: Actinophytocola sp. QAIII60 ASpks TB sRNA
Rfam family: ASpks TB sRNA
Source: Rfam by way of RNAcentral
CUUCACCGAACCGAGCCACAACGGCGUCUCGCGGUCCCGACCGUAGGUCGCCAGCAGCGCCUGCGCCUC